RNA transcript from Dendrobium catenatum, 1886 nucleotides. It is a transcript of the gene named glutathione reductase, chloroplastic, with no coding region annotated. Lineage: Eukaryota; Viridiplantae; Streptophyta; Magnoliopsida; Asparagales; Orchidaceae. The record is from RefSeq and is a predicted model, not a curated record. The transcript is spliced from 11 exons.
UGCGUGCUUCGUGGAUGUGUGCCAAAGAAAUUGUUGGUUUAUGCAUCAAAGUUUUCUCAUGAGUUUGAAGAGAGUCAUGGCUUUGGAUGGAAUUAUGAAGCUGACCCUAAGCAUGAUUGGAGUACUCUGAUGGCCAAUAAGACCGCAGAAUUACACCGCCUGACUGGAAUUUACAAAAAUAUUUUAAAGAAUGCUGGGGUGACACUGAUUGAGGGCCGUGGAAAGAUUGUUGGUCCACAUGAAGUUGAUGUAAAUGGUAAGCGAUACUAUGCAAGACACAUACUCAUAUCUGUUGGCGCACGACCAUCAAUUCCAGACAUUCCUGGAAAGGAGUUUGCUAUCGACUCGGAUGCUGCAUUAGAUCUGCCUUCAAAGCCUGAGAAGAUUGCGAUAGUUGGGGGAGGGUACAUUGCAUUGGAGUUCGCUGGCAUCUUCAAUGGUUUAAGGAGUGAUGUCCAUGUAUUUAUCAGGCAAAAGAAAGUUCUAAGAGGCUUUGAUGAAGAGAUUAGAGAUUUUGUUGGCGAGCAGAUGUCGCUAAGGGGCAUUGAGUUUCACACUGAAGAGUCACCUCAGGCUAUUCUUAAAUCAGCAGAUGGUUUGCUAUCAUUGAAAACUAGCAAAGGAACCGUCGAUGGUUUCUCUCAUGUAAUGUUUGCAACUGGUCGAAAGCCCAACACGAAGAACUUGGGGUUAGAGGAAGCUGGUGUAAAAUUGGACAAGAAUGGAGCAAUAUUGGUCGAUGAAUACUCUCGUUCAUCUGUUGACUCUAUUUGGGCUGUUGGAGAUGUAACUGAUAGGAUCAAUUUGACACCUGUAGCAUUAAUGGAAGGAGGGGCAUUUGCAAAGACUGUGUUUGGAAAUGAACCUAUAAAGCCAGAUUACAGGGCGGUCCCUUCAGCUGUCUUUUCUCAGCCGCCGAUUGGUCAAGUUGGUCUUACUGAAGAGCAGGCAAUUCAAGACUAUGGCGAUGUUGACAUCUUCACAGCAAACUUCAGACCUUUGAAGGCUACUAUCUCUGGGCUACCUGAUCGAGUACUCAUGAAAAUAAUUGUUUGUGCUAAGUCAAACAGAGUUUUGGGUGUGCAUAUGUGCGGAGAAGACUCACCAGAGAUUAUUCAGGGAAUUGCUAUUGCUGUUAAAGCUGGAUUGACUAAGGCGGAUUUUGAUGCCACAAUUGGGAUUCAUCCUACAUCUGCUGAAGAAUUUGUCACAAUGAGGACUCCAACCCGUGAAAUUCGAAAGGCUCAGACUCCAGAUGAGGAGAAGAUCGGGCAGGUCAAAUCUGCAGUAGAUAUUUAGUUCACAAUGAGACAAUAAGCAAUGUUAAAGACAUGUAGAUUUACAGCUUGUCAUGGCUCUAUCCAUGGAAUUGACGGUGGAUAAUCUUUUUGUGAGAUUAAUGGCCAAAAUCAUUUUGUGCAUUAAUGUUGUAAAGAGAACCUUGAAGACAAGCCUUAGCCAUCACUAACCUACUCUGUAGAGACCGUUCUCCACAUUGGCUUCAAGGCUUAAAGCAGACCCAUUCUAUAACGCUAUUUCGUUCGUAAUGGCUUCAGAACAUCGCUGAAAAAAAAAAACAUUUUGAAGGGAAGAAAAUUCAGAACUUCUACAGAGAAGGAAAUCCUACAUAGAGGCCUUUACAGGUACCAAACUUUGGCAAGAAGAACAAGUACAGUUCAUUUAUAUGUUUCCAGUAUUGUAACUUUCUUUAGUGAAUGGUUCUCUGCGUUGAUGCAAUGAGUUCUAUAGAACAUUGCUUAGUAAAUUGUCUGUAAUUUUAUGCUUAUUUGUUCUUGUGGAAAAGGACUUGCAUUGAAGCAAUAAACUGUAAAUAUUUUGUUUUUUGUUGAGAUACAGUAGAAGAGAUUUGUUCAUUCUCUAUGCUA